ACUUAUUGCCAGAAAAGAAUAAAAACCUGUUGUUGGUUGCUAGUAUAAGUAGGACGGUUCUAUUUGUAACCGUCAUUACUCAUCACACUACACUCUCAUUCAUUUCUUCAUUCAUCAACAAGAAACGAGGCUAAUCCGUCGAGUAUUGCAUUCUGAUUCGAAGAUUCGGCAUCGAUCGGAAUCCGUUUCUUCAGCCUAAUCGCAGUGCUACAUUGAUCCAGAUUUUAGUUAUUAAAGUUCAGGUUGUGAAAGCUUGAUUCUAGGGUCAGUGGAAGUGGGGGGAAUCAGUGUACACAGUUAAGGAAGCUUAUUUUUAUUUGAAUGAAUGUCAGACAAGGAAGUGUUUUGGGCUAAAGAUGUGUGGAACCUGCUGAUACCAUUGAGAUUGUCGGUGCUGGUCUGGAGGCUAUUCCUUAAUAGAUUAGCCAAUAAAGAUAAUCUAAGCUUUAGAGGUGUGAGGUUGAAUUCAUUGUUGUAUUAUGUUGGUGGCUGCGGUAGGCUCGAGACUGUGAACCGCGUCUUUUUUAAUUGUGCUAUUUUGUCGAUGAUUUGGCGCGAGUCGUUGAAGUAGCUCGGUGUUUCAGGUGUUUUUGUUGAAGGGGGAUUUGAGCAUCUAAAUUUGUUCAAAGGUUUGGUUGCUGGAGGUAAAAACGUUCUUGAGAGGCUGGGUGUAAUCUAGGUCUCAAUUAUCUCUUCCAUCUGGAAUGCUAGGAACGCAAUGGUCUUUUAACAGACUGGUAUUAAUUGGGAAAAGGUUGCGGGUGAAUAUAAAGUUCUAUCUUGGAGAGUUAUUCGAUUAAGAUCUACAGGUUUUAACUUUCCCCGUUGCUAGUGGCUUGCUAAUUCUUUGGACUGUCUGGGGGUGCAUAGGUUUAUGUAGGAGAUGUUCACGUGUGUAUUCGAUCGUGUAGUUUUGUUUUUGGUGCUGCACUCUUCUCUUCUGUGGAACAUCCAUGUUGGUUCUGUUUUGGAGUCUAUAUGAUUGUAGCAUGGACUUUCUGUCGUAGGAGUCUAAGAUUGAACAAAUUAGGUGGUCAAAUCAGCUAUCAAAGGAACUGUGUUUAAUAUUUGUGUCGUCGGAUCUAGUCCUUGUGUCGCUUUCAUGAGCUGCUAGAAGGAUUUUGGUUGUAAUUCCUGAGCUGGUUUAAUGGAACGCGGGAUUUGAAAUGUGGAUACGGAAUUUGUCAAAUACGCUUUGGUUUUGAUAGGAAGUAUUACUAUGGGAGCAUGAAGGCUCUUUAUAUUCGGUGAUAGUAGCUUGUUUAUUUUGAUGUAUUUUAUUAGGUCCUGUAAAGGUUUAGGCCUUUGGUAUUGGUGUAAUUAACAUUCUAAUCCUAGUACAACUUGUGCAAGGAUUAGUGUUUUUAAAUUUUUUAUGCUUUUUUAUAACAAAACAACAAAGUUUGGUUUGUUUGUUUUAA
Molecule: long non-coding RNA, 1421 nt
Organism: Medicago truncatula (barrel medic)
Lineage: Eukaryota; Viridiplantae; Streptophyta; Magnoliopsida; Fabales; Fabaceae
Exons: 3
Source: RefSeq, a predicted model, not a curated record